RNAcentral lists this ribosomal RNA (253 nucleotides) under uncultured bacterium. RNAcentral describes it as "partial 16S ribosomal RNA". It matches the Rfam family "Bacterial small subunit ribosomal RNA", at positions 524 to 776 of the family's 1533-position model. The record is from RNAcentral.
UACGUAGGGCGCAAGCGUUGUCCGGAAUUAUUGGGCGUAAAGAGCUCGUAGGCGGUCUGUCGCGUCCGUUGUGAAAACUCGAGGCUCAACCUCGGGCUUGCAGUGGAUACGGGCAGACUAGAGUGCGGUAGGGGAGACUGGAAUUCCUGGUGUAGCGGUGGAAUGCGCAGAUAUCAGGAGGAACACCGAUGGCGAAGGCAGGUCUCUGGGCCGCAACUGACGCUGAGGAGCGAAAGCCAGGGGAGCAAACGGG